GACGAACGCUGGCGGCGUGCUUAACACAUGCAAGUCGAACGGUGAAGGGACCGGUUUUUGCUGGUUCUGGAUGAGUGGCGCACGGGUGAGUAACACGUGAGUAACCUGCCCCCUUCUUCUGGAUAACCGCAUGAAAGUGUGGCUAAUACGGGAUAUUCUGCUCCUGCUGCAUGGUGGGUGUGGGAAAGAUAUUGUUUCGGUGGGGGAUGGGCUCGCGGCCUAUCAGCUUGUUGGUGGGGUGAUGGCCUACCAAGGCGGUGACGGGUAGCCGGCCUGAGAGGGUGGACGGUCACACUGGGACUGAGACACGGCCCAGACUCCUACGGGAGGCAGCAGUGGGGAAUAGUGCACAAUGGGCGCAAGCCUGAUGCAGCGACGCCGCGUGAGGGAUGGAGGCCUUCGGGUUGUAAACCUCUUUCGCCAGUGAAGCAGGCCUGUCCCUUUUGUGGGUGGGUUGACGGUAGCUGGAUAAGAAGCGCCGGCUAACUACGUG
This 493-nucleotide ribosomal RNA is filed under the name uncultured bacterium. RNAcentral's name for it is "partial 16S ribosomal RNA". It matches the Rfam family "Bacterial small subunit ribosomal RNA", at positions 28 to 507 of the family's 1533-position model. The record is from RNAcentral.